AAAUGGCUGCAGUAUUUUAACUGUACAAAGGUAGCAUAAUCAUUAGUCUUUUAAUUGAAGGCUUGUAUGAAUGGUUGGACGAAAUAUUAACUGUUUCAUUAAAAUUAAUUUAGAAUUUUAUUUUUUAGUUAAAAAGCUAAAAUUUAUUUAAAAGACGAGAAGACCCUAUAGAUCUUUAUAUUUGUUAUAUUAUAAUUAUUUAGAUUAUUUGAGUUAUGAUUAUAUUAGGUAUUUUGUUGGGGUGAUAUUAAAAUUUAAUUAACUUUUAAUUUAUAUUUACAUUAAUUUAUGAAUAUUUGAUCCAUUAAUAAUGAUUAAAAAAUUAAGUUACCUUAGGGAUAACAGCGUAAUUUUUUUGAAGAGUUCAUAUCGAUAAAAAAGAUUGCGACCUCGAUGUUGGAUUAAGAUAUAAUUUUGGGUGCAGAAAUUCAAUUAUUAAGUC
This 442-nucleotide ribosomal RNA is filed under the name Thereva turneri. RNAcentral's name for it is "partial 16S ribosomal RNA". The record is from RNAcentral. Lineage: Eukaryota; Metazoa; Arthropoda; Insecta; Diptera; Therevidae.